AAUUCUCAACCAUUCACUUUAUUGGAAUGGAUUGGAACAUGGGAUUGUGCAGGCCUUAUUUCGAGUCAGCUAUCCUUAAAUGCAUUAGCCAAAAGCCUCUAUUUUAUCUGGUGUGAUAAAUCUAUCACCAAUGACGAAACACAAUGGAGCUUGGCUUCUAAUUGUCUGUUAUAUAUACACACACAUAUAUA
RNAcentral lists this unclassified non-coding RNA (191 nucleotides) under uncultured Agaricales. RNAcentral's name for it is "sequence contains ITS2". Lineage: Eukaryota; Fungi; Basidiomycota; Agaricomycetes; Agaricales. The record is from RNAcentral.